Long non-coding RNA from Pan troglodytes (chimpanzee), 2188 nucleotides. RefSeq lists it as uncharacterized. The record is from RefSeq and is a predicted model, not a curated record. NCBI's taxonomy places the organism in Eukaryota, Metazoa, Chordata, Mammalia, Primates, Hominidae. The transcript is spliced from 3 exons.
GCGCAGUGUGUUUUCUCUGUAAUUCUGGGCCGUGUUCCGGAAGCCGCGUAAGACAAAAGCGAACGAGAGGCGGAAAAAAGGAAGACGCUUCCUGAAGAUGCUGGACUAGUUUUCAUACUAGAUCCCCUCGUGGCAGCAUUAAGGAACUUCACAUUCUUCUCACACUAUUCAUGGAAAGUUCCUGGAACUCCCACAGCAGCAAGGAAACUUCGCUUGUAGGAGUCCUUAGCACAUCUGUAAAGUUUUAUUGGCCAAAAUGUGAUACAUCUCCAUUUCUGGAUCGAUCACUGUGGUCAAGUGCAAGACGCUCUGCAGGACUCAACCUGGGGAUGAGGUCUGUCCACUCCAUCCAUAUGGUCACUUUAUACUGAGGUUGGACAGAUACUUCUACACAGCAAAAGAAACAAUCAACAAAGUAAACUGACAACCUGCAGAAUGGGAAAAAUAUUUACAAACUAUGCAUCUGAUGAAAAGCUACCAUCUGGAAUCUACAAGAAAAUCAAACAACUCAACAAAAUAACCCCAUUAAAAAUAACUCCAUUAAAAUAUGGGCAAAGGACAUGAAACAGACAUUUUCCAAAAGAAGACAUACAAGUGGCCAACAAACAUAGGAAAAAAUGCUCAACAUGACUAACCAGAGAAUGCAAAUUAAAACCACAGUGAGAUACCAUCUUACACCAGUCAGAAUGGCUAUUGUUAAAAAGUCUAAAAACAAUAGCUGUUGGUGAGGAUGCAGAGAUAAGGGAAUGCUUAUCCACUGUUGGAGGGAAUGUAAAUUAGUACAACCUUUAUGGAAAACUGUAUGGAGAUUUCUCAAAGAAUUAAAAAAUAGAACUACCAUUUGAUCCAGGAAUCCCAUUACUGGGUAUAUACCUGAAGGGAAAGAAACUAUUAUAUCAAAAAGAUACUGGCAUUCAGAUGUUUAUCACAGCCCUAUUCACAAUAGCAAGGAUAUGGAAUCAACCUAAGUGUCUAUCAAUGGAGGAUUGGAUAAAGAAAAUGUGAGAAACACACACACCCACACGCACACACACACACACCAUGGAAUACUACUCAGCAAUAAAAAAUAAAAUCAUGUCUUGUGCAGCAACAUGGAUGGAGUUGGAGUCCAUUAUAUUAAAUGAAAUAACUCAGAAACAGAAGGUCAAAUACCACAUAUUCUCAGUUAUGAGUGGGAGCUAAACAGUGGGUAUCAUGGAUAUGCAGGGCGAAAUAAUAGACAUUGGAGACACAAAAGGCGGGAGGGGCCCAGCCCAGUGGCUCAUGCCUGUAAUCCCAGCACUUUGGGAGGCCGAGGCAGGCAGAUUACUUGAGGCCAGGAGUAAAACCAGCCUGGCCAACAUUGCUAAACCCCAUCUCUACUAAAAAUACAAAAAUUAGCUGGGUGUGGUGGCAUGCGCCUGUAAUCCCAGCUACUAGGGAAGCUAAGGCAUGAGAAUCACUUGAACCUGAGAGGCAGAGGUUGCAGUGAGCCAAGAUCACGCCACUGCACUCCAGCCUUGUUGACAGAGUGAGACUCUGUGUCAAAAAAAAAAAAAAAGGUAGGAAGAUGGGAGGGUGGGAAAGGAGUGAAUAUUGAACAAUUCCCUACUGGGUAUGAUGUUCACUAUUUGAGUGAUGGGUACACUGAAAGCUCAGGCCUCACCACUAUGCAACAUAUGUGUGUAAGUAACCUGCACUUGUACCCCACAAAUAUAUAAAAAUUUAAAGAAUUCAAGUAUAUAUAAAUAUGGAGCUGGAGGCCAUUAUCCUAAAGGAAAUAACUCAGAAACAAAAAGUCAAAUGUCACAUAUUCUCACUUAUGAGUGGGAGCUAAACAACAGGUACCAUGGACAUGUAGAGUGGAAUAAUAGACACUGGAGACUACAAAAGGUGGGAGGGGCCGGGCGUAGUGGCUCAGGCCUGUAAUCCCAGUAGUAGGCAUACUGCAUUUAUUGAGCAAGUACAAAACAAAUAUUUAUUGAAUGCAUUCAGGCAUUACUUAAUUUCUUUUUUAAGAAAUUAAAAAAUCAAUGUGUUUGGAUUUUUAAGCAAUGUGUUUGUAUUUUUCUUAUUAAAUAGUAAGUUCUGUGUAUGUUUUACAAAUACUUAAAUUCCCAAUUGUGUUGUUGAAUAUUUUCCCCACAUUUUUGUUUGCCAUUAAGUUUUGCUUAAUAUGUUUUUGGUUGAUUAAAAAUUUUUAUUUUUA